RNAcentral lists this ribosomal RNA (945 nucleotides) under uncultured bacterium. RNAcentral describes it as "bacterial SSU rRNA". It matches the Rfam family "Bacterial small subunit ribosomal RNA", at positions 521 to 1482 of the family's 1533-position model. The record is from RNAcentral.
UAAUACGUAGGGGGCAAGCGUUAUCCGGAUCUACUGGGUGUAAAGGGAGCGUAGGUGGUUCGGUAAGUCAGAUGUGAAAGCCCGGGGCUCAACCCCGGGACUGCAUUUGAAACUAUCGGACUAGAGUGCAGGAGAGGUAAGUGGAAUUCCUAGUGUAGCGGUGAAAUGCGUAGAUAUUAGGAGGAACACCAGUGGCGAAGGCGGCUUACUGGACUGUAACUGACACUGAGGCUCGAAAGCGUGGGGAGCAAACAGGAUUAGAUACCCUGGUAGUCCACGCCGUAAACGGUGAAUACUAAGUGUCGGGGGGCAAAAGCCCUCCGGUGCCGCAGCUAACGCAAUAAGUAUUCCACCUGGGGAGUACGUUCGCAAGAAUGAAACUCAAAGGAAUUGACGGGGACCGCACAAGCGGUGGANCAUGUGGUUUAAUUCGAAGCAACCCGAAGAACCUUACCAGGUCUUGACAUCCCUCUGACGUCUUAACGGACUUUCUUCGGACAGAGGGACAGUGUGCAUGUUGACGUCAGCUCGUGUCGUGAGAUGUUGGUUAAGUCCCGCAACGAGCGCAACCCUAUCUUNGUAGCCAGCAUGAAAGAUGGCACUCUAGGAGACUGCCCAGGGAUAACCUGGAGGAAGGCGGGGAUGACGUCAAAUCAUCAUGCCCUNAUGAUCUGGGCUACACACGUGCUACAAUGGUGGCUACAAAGAGAAGCAAACCCGCGAGGGGGAGCAAAUCUCAGAAAGGCCAUCCCAGUUCGGAUUGUAGUCUGCAACUCGACUACAUGAAGCUGGAAUCGCUAGUAAUCGCGAAUCAGAAUGUCGCGGUGAAUACGUUCCCGGGUCUUGUACACACCGCCCGUCACACCAUGGGAGUCGGAUAUGCCCGAAGUCAGUGACCCAACCGCAAGGAGGGAGCUGCCGAAGGUGGAGCCGAUGACUGGGGUG